This 778-nucleotide ribosomal RNA is filed under the name uncultured Neocallimastigales. Its description in RNAcentral is "partial large subunit ribosomal RNA". It matches the Rfam family "Eukaryotic large subunit ribosomal RNA", at positions 23 to 643 of the family's 3401-position model. The record is from RNAcentral. Lineage: Eukaryota; Fungi; Neocallimastigomycota; Neocallimastigomycetes; Neocallimastigales.
AGAGAUGUGUGAUGACGCAUAUCAAUAAGCGGAGGAAAAGAAACUAACAAGGAUUCCCUUAGUAACGGCGAGUGAAGCGGGAAGAGCUCAAAUUUGAAAUCUUCAAGGUUCUACCUUGACGAAUUGUAGUUUAUAGAAGUGUUUUCUGUUAGUAGAGUGGCAAAAGUUCUUUGGAAUAGGACAUCAUAGAGGGUGAGAAUCCCGUAUUUGGUCAUUCCUUCCUAGCUUUGUGAUACACUUUCAACGAGUCGGAUUGUUUGGGAAUGCAGUCCAAAAUGGGUGGUAAAUUUCAUCUAAAGCUAAAUAUUGGCGAGAGACCGAUAGCGAACAAGUACCGUGAGGGAAAGAUGAAAAGAACUUUGAAAAGAGAGUUAAACAGUACGUGAAAUUGUCAAAAGGGAAGCGUUUGACACCAGUGUUGUUUUUCCGAAAAUCAAUUACGAAUGUUUUGUUUUUGAGGAGUUAUGACUUCAUCGGCUUGCUUCCUUUCUUUACUGAAACUUUCUUAAUGCACUUUUCGGUUAACAAGUCAACAUCAAUUUCUUUUGUUGUAAAAGGGUAUGAGGAAGGUGGCUUUCUUUUCGGAGAAAGUGUUUAUAGCCUUGUAGCCUCUGCAAUCGGAGAGAUUGAGGUCUGCAGCGUAGAUCCUUCGGGGUUAGAUACAUUUGUGCUAAGUUAUAGCUUUUCAUAGACAACUUGUUGACUAUGUUUAGUCUUGUAGCUUACUCGCUUAUGCUAUUUUACCUACGCUUAGGAUGUUGAAGAUGUAGCACAUCAU